GUCAAGGUGCCAGAGUGGUUAAUGGGCUGCCCUGCUAUCAAAUUAUUUGAUCUCAGACUAGGCAGUGGCUUCGGUCGCGCAGGUUCGAAUCCUGUCCUUGACG
Molecule: transfer RNA, 103 nt
Filed under: Colletotrichum tofieldiae
Lineage: Eukaryota; Fungi; Ascomycota; Sordariomycetes; Glomerellales; Glomerellaceae
Rfam family: tRNA
About the family: Transfer RNA (tRNA) molecules are approximately 80 nucleotides in length. Their secondary structure includes four short double-helical elements and three loops (D, anti-codon, and T loops). Further hydrogen bonds mediate the characteristic L-shaped molecular structure. tRNAs have two regions of fundamental functional importance: the anti-codon, which is responsible for specific mRNA codon recognition, and the 3' end, to which the tRNAs corresponding amino acid is attached (by aminoacyl-tRNA synthetases). tRNAs cope with the degeneracy of the genetic code in two manners: having more than one tRNA (with a specific anti-codon) for a particular amino acid; and 'wobble' base-pairing, i.e. permitting non-standard base-pairing at the 3rd anti-codon position.
Source: Rfam by way of RNAcentral